Molecule: ribosomal RNA, 430 nt
Filed under: uncultured bacterium
Lineage: Bacteria
Description: bacterial SSU rRNA
Rfam family: Bacterial small subunit ribosomal RNA
Source: RNAcentral
UUCGGGACGCCGGCGAGUGGCGAACGGGUGAGUAACACGUGGAGACCUGCUCUGGGGUGGGGGAUAACAGCUAGAAAUGGCUGCUAAUACCGCAUACGCCUUACGAGGGAAAGAUUUAUUGCCCCAGGAGGGUUCCGCGUCGGAUUAGCUUGUUGGUGGGGUAACGGCCUACCAAGGCGACGAUCCGUAGCUGGUCUUAGAGGAUGAUCAGCCACACUGGGACUGAGACACGGCCCAGACUCCUACGGGAGGCAGCAGUGGGGAAUAUUGCGCAAUGGGGGAAACCCUGACGCAGCGAUGCCGCGUGGGUGAAUAAGGCCUUAGGGUUGUAAAGCCCUUUCAGUGGGAACGAUGAUGACGGUACCCACAGAAGAAGCCCCGGCUAACUCCGUGCCAGCAGCCGCGGUAAUACGGAGGGGGCGAGCGUUGU